CUUAGACAUUUCUCCAGUUUUAGGUAAUAAAUAAUAAUUUUAUUAUUUUUAAAGUUGAUCCAAGUAAAUAUUAAACCAAGGCCUUAAAAAGAUAUUGCCACUUUUAUAAAUUAAACUUAUUACACGCUCCCCUCCUCCUCCUCGGCUGUCAGUCACAUAGCAGGUCCUGUGACUUCCUGGUUGUUUCGAGUGGUGGAGCUAAACUCGAGAGGCAGCAAUGAAUCUCUACAUGCUGCUAAUUUUUCC
Non-coding RNA from Pelobates cultripes (western spadefoot toad), 246 nucleotides. The record is from the annotation of a GenBank genome assembly. NCBI's taxonomy places the organism in Eukaryota, Metazoa, Chordata, Amphibia, Anura, Pelobatidae.